This 250-nucleotide ribosomal RNA is filed under the name uncultured bacterium. RNAcentral's name for it is "partial 16S ribosomal RNA". It matches the Rfam family "Bacterial small subunit ribosomal RNA", at positions 103 to 354 of the family's 1533-position model. The record is from RNAcentral.
CGGGUGAGUAACGCGUGGAGAACCUGCCGUAUACUGGGGGAUAACACUUAGAAAUAGGUGCUAAUACCGCAUAAGCGCACAGCUUCGCAUGAAGCAGUGUGAAAAACUCCGGUGGUAUACGAUGGAUCCGCGUCUGAUUAGCUUGUUGGCGGGGUAAAGGCCCACCAAGGCGACGAUCAGUAGCGGCCUGAGAGGGUGAACGGCCACAUUGGGACUGAGACACGGCCCAAACUCCUACGGGAGGCAGCAG